This 75-nucleotide transfer RNA is filed under the name Chitinispirillales bacterium. Its description in RNAcentral is "tRNA-Gln". It matches the Rfam family "tRNA". Rfam says of the family: Transfer RNA (tRNA) molecules are approximately 80 nucleotides in length. Their secondary structure includes four short double-helical elements and three loops (D, anti-codon, and T loops). Further hydrogen bonds mediate the characteristic L-shaped molecular structure. tRNAs have two regions of fundamental functional importance: the anti-codon, which is responsible for specific mRNA codon recognition, and the 3' end, to which the tRNAs corresponding amino acid is attached (by aminoacyl-tRNA synthetases). tRNAs cope with the degeneracy of the genetic code in two manners: having more than one tRNA (with a specific anti-codon) for a particular amino acid; and 'wobble' base-pairing, i.e. permitting non-standard base-pairing at the 3rd anti-codon position. The record is from RNAcentral. Lineage: Bacteria; Pseudomonadati; Fibrobacterota; Chitinispirillia; Chitinispirillales.
GGGGGUGUCGGCAAGUGGUAAGCCACGUGAUUUUGGUUCAUGUAUUCGGAGGUUCGAAUCCUUCCACCCCUGCCA